RNAcentral lists this ribosomal RNA (322 nucleotides) under Sandonidae sp. Its description in RNAcentral is "SSU rRNA". The stretch from base 110 to 322 matches the Rfam family "Eukaryotic small subunit ribosomal RNA", at positions 742 to 955 of the family's 1831-position model. Lineage: Eukaryota; Cercozoa; Glissomonadida; Sandonidae. The record is from RNAcentral.
GAUUUCUGACUGGUCACAUUUUGCCGGCCGCUAUUUGGCGUGUUAGUGCUUUAUGUUCUAGUCAUCCUUCCAAUCGCUGCUUGCUUUUCUUUAUUGAUUGGCAAGUGGUAUUGGAUCUUUUACUUUGAAAAAAUUAGAGUGUUUCAAGCAGGCUUUCUGCCAUGAAUACAUUAGCAUGGAAUAAUAAUUUAGGACUUCGGUUCUAUUUUGUUGGUUUCUAGGACUGAAGUAAUGAUUGAUAGGGAUAGUUGGGGGUGCUAGUAUUCAGCGGCCAGAGGUGAAAUUCUCGGAUUCGCUGAAGACUAACUUAUGCGAAAGCAUU